Molecule: ribosomal RNA, 252 nt
Filed under: uncultured bacterium
Lineage: Bacteria
Description: partial 16S ribosomal RNA
Rfam family: Bacterial small subunit ribosomal RNA
Source: RNAcentral
UACGUAGGGCGCAAGCGUUGUCCGGAAUUAUUGGGCGUAAAGAGCUCGUAGGCGGCCUGUUACGUCUGCUGUGAAAUCCCGGGGCUUAACCCCGGGCGUGCAGUGGAUACGGGCAGGCUGGAGGCAGGCAGGGGAGAACGGAAUUCCCGGUGUAGCGGUGAAAUGCGCAGAUAUCAGGAGGAACACCGGUGGCGAAGGCGGGUCUCUGGGCAGUAACUGACGUGAGGAGCGAAAGCGUGGGGAGCGAACAGG